Molecule: RNA transcript, 1805 nt
Organism: Fukomys damarensis (Damara mole-rat)
Lineage: Eukaryota; Metazoa; Chordata; Mammalia; Rodentia; Bathyergidae
Gene: Trnau1ap
Gene name: tRNA selenocysteine 1 associated protein 1
Exons: 10
Source: RefSeq, a predicted model, not a curated record
CGAUCCGGAAGCUGGGCGCGCAGUGGGGGACUCGGGAAAAUCCGGAACGGAACACCUUACAGCACGGGCCGCGGACUUUCGGCGCGUGCGCAGAAGGCGUCCCAGGCGCUAACUCCGGGGCGGUCCUUACAACGCGGACUGGAGCCCGCGCGCGCCUCUCAGGCCCGCAAAGUCCGCGCCCGGCUGCGGGAUGGCAGCCAGCCUGUGGAUGGGAGACCUGGAACCCUACAUGGAUGAGAGCUUCAUCUCCAGAGCCUUUGCCACCAUGGGGGAGACCGUGAUGAGCGUCAAAAUUAUCCGAAACCGCCUCACUGGGAUCCCAGCUGGCUACUGCUUUGUAGAAUUUGCAGAUUUGGCCACAGCUGAGAAGUGUUUACAUAAAAUUAAUGGGAAACCCCUUCCAGGAGCCACACCUGCAAAACGUUUUAAACUGAACUAUGCCACUUAUGGGAAACAGCCAGAUAAUAGCCCUGAGUACUCCCUCUUUGUCGGGGACCUGACCCCAGAUGUGGAUGAUGGCAUGCUGUAUGAGUUCUUCGUCAAAGUCUACCCUUCCUGUCGGGGAGGCAAGGUGGUUCUGGACCAGACAGGCGUGUCUAAGGGUUAUGGUUUUGUGAAAUUCACAGAUGAACUGGAACAGAAGCGAGCCCUUACAGAGUGCCAAGGAGCAGUAGGACUGGGGUCUAAACCUGUGCGGCUGAGUGUGGCAAUCCCUAAAGCGAGCCGGGUAAAGCCAGUGGAAUACAGUCAGAUGUACAGUUACAGCUACAACCAGUAUUAUCAACAGUACCAGAACUACUAUGCCCAGUGGGGCUAUGAUCAGAACACAGGCAGCUACAGCUACAGUUACCCCCAGUAUGGCUACACCCAGAGCACCAUGCAGACAUAUGAAGAAGUUGGAGACGAUGCAUUGGAAGACCCUAUGCCACAGCUGGAUGUGACAGAGGCCAACAAGGAGUUCAUGGAGCAGAGUGAGGAGCUGUAUGAUGCGUUGAUGGACUGUCACUGGCAGCCCCUGGACUCAGUGUCUUCAGAGAUCCCAGCUGUAAUCUAACCAAGACAAAGGAAAGGCCAGCAUGGACUGAGGGAAGAUCAGACUUUUCUUAAAAUAUGAAAACUUUUACCUUUUCAAAAAUGGUUUAUAAGAUUUUAAUAACCUUCCUGAUACUGUAUUUCCACGAUGCUGCCGCUUUCAUUUGGUAUCAUUUGAAUGGAAACCAAUGGUUGGACCAAAGUCUAAACAGCAAAUUCCUGGUUAUUCACUUGAGGAGAAAAAUACAAGGAUUAGCCAUUGGAUUGUGGGCUGUUUUCCAAAGCUUAGGUUAGGAUCAGAGUCAGUGCGUGUUAGGGCACCUCAACAGAUUCCUGAUCUCGCAGCUAAGAUAAGGAGCACAGGCCAGUGUGGGGAUAAACCAAGCAACUGCAAUCUACUAUAGCCUGGAACUGGGCAUCUUGACAACUAAGCCCCGCCAGACAGGUUUGUGGCUCAUGACUGAAUCUGCAGGAGGAUGAGCUCAAGGAUGGCAUGAACUACAUUGUCUCCAAAAAAAAAUAAUAAUAAAGUUGAUGAAGUAACAUACUUGGGAGAGGAUCGCAGGAAAAAAAAUUUGAGGCAGCAGGAUUGCAGAAUUCAAGACCAGUCUGAACUACAUAAGCAAGGCCUUGUCUCAAAAAACAAAAACCCAAACACACACAAAAACUUUUGCAUUUGCUUAGUUUUCACUGAAGCAGUUUGGGGGUGUGCUUUGGGAAGUAGAUAAAUAUUACUUCUUUGGGCCCAUACCACACAUGGGGAGUCCAGCAAA